AUCCCAGAUAAACUACUUAUGUGUUUAUUUGAUUCAUGGGAGGCAGAUAUCAAUUAUGGGAGUUCGCUGAUGGCGCCUUUUUUUCCUAGAAGGUGCUUUAAUAGUACCUCACCUUACAUUC
Small nucleolar RNA from Vitis vinifera (wine grape), 121 nucleotides. NCBI's taxonomy places the organism in Eukaryota, Viridiplantae, Streptophyta, Magnoliopsida, Vitales, Vitaceae. The record is from Rfam.